CACACCUCUAAAAGAAUUAGUAUGCAAUUAUGAUUACUCAUUUACGUCAGGUCAAAGUGCAGCUUAUGGGAAGGUGAUGAUUGGGUUACACCCUAAACAAAGAUACGGAAUAUGAUGUCAAAAGUCAUAUAAAGGAGGACUUGGACGUAAUAGUGACCCAAUUUCACAAUGAAGCCGAAUCUAAGACAUGCACACAUCGCCCGUCACUCUCGCCUAAAGGCGAGAUAAGUCGUAACAAAGUAGGUGUAACGGAAGUUGCACCUGU
RNAcentral lists this ribosomal RNA (265 nucleotides) under Allolobophora chlorotica. RNAcentral describes it as "partial 12S ribosomal RNA". It matches the Rfam family "Bacterial small subunit ribosomal RNA", at positions 1136 to 1520 of the family's 1533-position model. Lineage: Eukaryota; Metazoa; Annelida; Clitellata; Crassiclitellata; Lumbricidae. The record is from RNAcentral.